UCGUUGGCCAACACCUACGACAUUAACAGAGGCACGCAGCUUUCAUGGUCUCGCCUCUUUUUAUCGCCGAUUCAUUCCCGGGUUCAGUACUAUUAUGGCACCAAUAACUGAUUGCAUGAAACAAGGAGCGUUUCUUUGGACCCCUGCAGCUGCCACGGCCUUUACAAUUUUGAAGCAAAAGAUGAGUCAAGCACCUGUUCUUCGACAUCCUGAUUUGACUAAAGUCUUUGAAGUGGCAUGCGACGCUUCCGGAGUCGGAAUUGGUGGCGUGCUUAGCCAAGAAGGACAUCCAGUAGCCUACUUUAGUGAGAAACUUAAUGCAGCAAAGCAACGUUAUUCUACUUAUGACAAGGAGUUUUAUGCUGUGGUACAGGCCCUUCGGUAUUGGCAAUAUUACCUAUUGCCAAACGAAUUUGUGCUAUAUUCCGAUCAUCAAGCUUUGAAAUAUCUCCACUCUCAACGCACCAUCAGCAGUCGACAUGUCAAGUGGUCUGAAUAUCUACAGAUCUUUACGUUUGUUUUACGACACCGUCCAGGCAUUGACAAUAAGGCAGCUGAUGCCCUUAGUCGCGUGGCUACUAUUUUGCACACAAUGACAGUUGAGGUCACUGGGUUUGAUCGUAUUAAGGCCGAGUAUUCGUCGUGUCCAGAUUUUGGAAUUAUUUUCCAUGAAGUUUCCAACGGUAACCGUCGUGAGUAUGUGGACUUUAUUACAAGGGAUGGGUUCUUGUUUCGGAAAACCCAAUUAUGCAUUCCUCGUACUUCUCUUCGUGAAUUCCUUAUUUGGGAACUACAUGGUGGUGGUUUGGCUGGACAUUUUGGUAAAUGAUGCAGAAUGCAUCUCCUAAUUCUACUUGGAUUAGCUUUCCUUUUAUUAGUUUUCCUAUUUUAGUUAAGAAUUCCCCGUUGUUAAAGGAUUUCUUAUUAGUUAAAUUGCUUUCCUAAUUUUUCAAAGUUUGUCUCUAUAAAUAGAGCAGAUUGUAAUCUUUUAAUUUAAUUUUUGAUGAAUGAAAAACUCUCCUUACUAGAACUCCCUGAUUUCUUCCCCUUUCCCUUCGUCUCCUCGACCCCUAAUUCGUCUCCUCGAUCUUUUACUUCUUCUCGGUCCCGUCACACCCUUGUUCACCCUAAUACUACCGCAGUUCUACAUCAAUGUUCCAAAGUAAAUAUACUUAAGGUAUCUGUUAUUUUUCAAAUGAAACCUUACAGGACUGUUCCUGUUGGUUCACAAAUCUACUUAAGUGGAAACACUAUCAUACGUAUACUGCAAGUUUCAUGGCAUCCUAACAGUGACACCCAUCUGGGAAUUCUUUCUUUGUGAGCCAACUCCAGGCAAGCUAUCACCUUUGAAGCUUGAUCAACCUCUUGAUAGUACUCUUUGGUUCGGGCUUCCUCCCCCUCUGUUGAGAUUGGCUAUUGUGGAUCUGGCUCUGCCUAGGAAAGCAAAGAGUGGUUCUCUUAUUAGGAUGUUUACUGAUCCCCUGAUGUUGGAAAGAAUAUACACCCUUCAUGAUGGAGGGUUAGAUUCAAUAGUGUUGCAUUAUCUCCCGUUUACAAGUCAGAUUAGCGGCAAGAACCAGACCAUGAGAACUCCAUCAGUGCAUCCUGUUCUAAGCACAUGCCAGGGGGAAGACCCCUCGCAAUCUCUGCUAUCAGGUUUUGUGCAUUAUCAGAUUCAUUUGCCUGUUCAUGGAUUGUGGGACUCGCUGUUUUGCGAGAAUGUAUAGUGCUGGAGAUGAAGACUUGGAACCUAUUGCUUCCUCUUCAAGUCGAUAUGGAGAACAAAUUUCUUUGCCUUGAAGAACCAAAAGAGAAAGAUAUGCCAAAUCUUAAAAGCAAAGAACUCCUAGUUGGACCUAAGGUGGUUCUUCUUCCUCGGAGCUCACCAAGUUUGCGUUCUCUUUCUGCUGAUUCAAUUGAAGGUCGACCAAAGCUUCAUAAGUACUUCAGAAGCUUUCAUGAAUAUUAUGCAGAGUAUGCAUGUAAGGUUUACUUUGAACUCGAGUAUCAUGGACCCAUCUUGAAGAGGAUAAUUGAUGACCAGCAUGCUCGCCUAGGUGCUGCACAACAGAGGCUCUCGCAAGUUGAGGAGAAGCAAUCAAAAUUGGAGGACAGAACUGAUAGUGCAAUCCAGAUGCACAAUCUUCUGGAGGAGCGCUUGAAACGUUUAAGAAACUUGCCUGGGCCUGUCCAGAGCUGAGUGAGAGUUCAAGUCGGAGCUUGACCACUUCUCAGGAGUUGAAUUGGAUGAAUUGCGUUCUUCCAUUAACACUGUAACUGCAAGGUUGAGAAGGCACACACAAUCGCCGAAAAGCAAUGCAUCAAACCAACGUUGGCCGAUAGCAAGGAGGAAAGAUCCUGUGCAAGAAUCUCAAGUCUCCCAUCUGAAAUUCUCAGUUGAGAAACUCACUGGUCAAUUGAAAAUUCGAAAAAGGUUAGGCUUGUUGAAUCUGAAUUUAAAAGUCGGGAAACCAGACCUACUUUGUUUCUGAAUCUGUGAUUAAGUUAUGGUAACCGGAUGUAAGUUUUGAACCUAUGGCGGUGCACGAUAUGUCCUUUUAUUAAAGUCGGUGCCAUUUUGAACGGUAUUGCUCGGCACAUCAUGUGUAAUAAUACCAUUGGUUGAAAGCUUGAAAAUAUCUGUCCGCUGAUA
Molecule: non-coding RNA, 2653 nt
Organism: Malus domestica (apple)
Lineage: Eukaryota; Viridiplantae; Streptophyta; Magnoliopsida; Rosales; Rosaceae
Source: RefSeq, a predicted model, not a curated record